Long non-coding RNA from Larimichthys crocea (large yellow croaker), 343 nucleotides. RefSeq lists it as uncharacterized. The record is from RefSeq and is a predicted model, not a curated record. Lineage: Eukaryota; Metazoa; Chordata; Actinopteri; Sciaenidae. The transcript has 3 exons.
GAUAUGACCUGAAACAAUGACAUUCUUUUGUCCCAGAUGACAUGCCGUUCCAGACUAUGUUUACUGCUGGGAGAGUCAUGACAACAAGUUUCCAAGAUCGCUGAAAUGCAGCACAAGAGCAGUUGUUUUAGUUUAAUGUUGCAUCAAAAGGGGAACGAAUGAAUGGCCUGAAAAAAGAAACAAGGUCCUGAGCCAAUAGUGAGCUUGUUCAGCAAGGUACAUCUGUGUAUCAAAGGGAUUCCCAGGGCAGGAGGUAACCAUACAAAAGGAACACACAAGAGUUUUUCAGUGAUUUUGUUCAUUGAAAGUCAUUUUUAUAGUGAUUAAAUUAUCUAUUUAAUAC